Long non-coding RNA from Mustela erminea (ermine), 393 nucleotides. RefSeq lists it as uncharacterized. The transcript is spliced from 2 exons. The record is from RefSeq and is a predicted model, not a curated record. Lineage: Eukaryota; Metazoa; Chordata; Mammalia; Carnivora; Mustelidae.
CAUAGCAAAUAUGCUUCAGCCCCAGGCAGCUGACUUCUUGUUCACCCAGAUGGAAAUUAAACCUCAAUGUGCAUAUUGCAAGCACCUGCCACAGCCUCUUAAAAAUGCAAGACCUUAACCAGGCAACAGGGAUAUAGUUUCAGAGAGGAAGAAGAACUACAUUGGUGCCCUUCAUCGGAAGGGAUAAAAAGAGAGGAAGAAGGAUUCCAUAUGCAAAGAUAAGACAGAUUUCUGCAACAUCAAGUCACUAAUUCUAGCAUGAUCCUGUGGACGGAAGUGUCAGAAAUGACUCACCAAAUCAUCUACUGACUUUUCCUCAGUCACACAGGAAUAGAUACUAAGCCACCACUGAAUCUGAGUUUCUGUCUUCUCUAAGAUUUCUCAACUACAGAA